UACGUAGGGGCCAAGCGUUGUCCGGAAUCAUUGGGCGUAAAGGGCGCGUAGGCGGCUUUUUAAGUCAGAUGUUAAAUCUAUAGGCUCAACCUAUAGCCGCAUCUGAUACUGAUUAGCUGGAGAAUGGUAGAGGAAAGCGGAACUUUCGGUGUAGCGGUGAAAUGCGUAGAUAUCGAAAGGAACACCAGUGGCGAAGGCGGCUUUCUGGGCCAUUUCUGACGCUGAAGCGCGAAAGCCAGGGGAGC
Molecule: ribosomal RNA, 245 nt
Filed under: uncultured bacterium
Lineage: Bacteria
Description: partial 16S ribosomal RNA
Rfam family: Bacterial small subunit ribosomal RNA
Source: RNAcentral